UGUGGUAGUGGUGGCUGGUGGUAAAAAGAGGAGAUGCUAUGGAUGAUAGGCAGUAGCACCAAGAUCUGAAUCAACCCAGCUAGAAUUUUCAGUGUGUAGUUGUGUGCAAACCUUGACAAAUGAUGUCCAGCUAGGCUUUGUUUGGCUGCACCUGUGGAGUUGUGGGCAAUCUGCCUAGUCAUUCUUCCCCUCCUUGUCCAUGUACUCUCCUUCCGGCUCUUUCCUCGACACAAAGAGGGUGAAUCUCAUACAAAUAACCAAUGCAGCCAAUGGUACAGUGAUUAUGCGUAGUUUGAAGAGGCUGUUACUGGCGUCCUCAACGAUCCCCUUGACCCCCCGCCACCGUCGUUGCUCAGCAGCGCCGAGCCCAGCCGGUCGAUCCGAGGCCUCUGGCCAGGAACAACGUGUGCUCCUGCGAGAUGUGCUACCCUUGCCGGCAACCGCACGCUGCCGCCUCAACAGGAGCACGCCGCCCUACCUGCCUCCCUCACCCUGCGCCCCUUCUCCUUCUCAUUUCUUCCUCUCUCCCUCACGCCCUGUCUCUCUCUUUCUCUGGAUGAGUAGGGCAUCAGCCGCCGCCAUCUAGCAAGCUGCCGCACCAGCCACCAGAUCCGUCGAUGCCGCGCCUGAAUCCGUCAGUUUUCGCGCCGCCGCCGCGGCUCUUACCACCCGCCGGCCCGUUCCGGCGAACUCCAGCGCCGCCUGCCCGUUUCGACGGAGUUGGCCGGGUGAUGAAGAGCGGUGCGGCAAAGGAGGAGGAGAGAGAGGAGUUGGGGGAAGGUGUGGCGUCGGCGUUGAGUGUUCCCGGUGGUGGAAAGCCGCAGGGUGGUGGCGGCGCACGGCGGAGGAGCGGUGGCCGGCGGGGGCGUCACGCGGCGGAGGGCUGGCAGGGGCGGCGCGUGGCGGAGGGGCGGUGGCCGGCGGGGGCGGCGCGUGGCGUGGCGUGGAAGGGUGUGGCGGCGCCUGGAGGUGGAGAUGCGGGAGAUAAGGUCG
Molecule: long non-coding RNA, 993 nt
Filed under: Triticum aestivum (bread wheat)
Lineage: Eukaryota; Viridiplantae; Streptophyta; Magnoliopsida; Poales; Poaceae
Description: long non-coding RNA (TAES_LNC002372)
Source: RNAcentral